This is an RNA transcript of Benincasa hispida (wax gourd), 772 nucleotides long. It is a transcript of the gene named embryo defective 2752, with no coding region annotated. NCBI's taxonomy places the organism in Eukaryota, Viridiplantae, Streptophyta, Magnoliopsida, Cucurbitales, Cucurbitaceae. The record is from RefSeq and is a predicted model, not a curated record.
AGCUUGAAGAGAUGAAGGUGAAGAAGAAGCUGGUCCAAUUCUCAUCCGUAUUGGGCUUUCUCUAUUAUCCUCCUUCCUCUUUACAAAACUCUUCAUCGCUGAUUCCGCCACGGCCACCGCCACCAGCGAGGCCAGUAACAGCCGAGUCUGCAACUGUUUUCGUUUUCCUUUAAAUAUCACUCAAAUUGAUACUUCUUCUCCUUCUAAUAUCUCUUGUAUACGAACGAAUCAAUCGUCAAUUGCGCGAAAAUGGCGAGUUAUUUAUGGAGGAAGUACGCCGAUUAUGUCUACACCAAAUGGGAAAGAACGAUUCUCUGGGAUAUGGUUGAUCCCUAUAGGCGACCCAAAUCCUUUACGCCUUUGGUUUCCAUUUAUAUUGCUGCUUUUUACACUGGGGUCGUCGGCGCUGCCAUUACCGAGCAACUCUACAAGGAAAAGUAUUGGGAAGAUCACCCUGGGGAAGCUGUUCCUUUAAUGAAACCAAAGUUUUAUUAUGGACCCUGGAGGGUAAUGAGAGGAGAAGUCCCUGCACAUACCAAGUGAAAGCUUUAGCACUCGCCAUUCUCGUCCAUGCUGAUAUUGGAAACAUGUUGUAGAAAGUUCAUGAUCGAGUAAAUUUUCUGUUUGCUCAAGAAACUGAACAAAGUAUUUAGGCUCUGCCAAAAAUGGUUCUCUUCAACCUCCCUCUUCCUUAAAUGGCAACCGCUCAAUGCCUUUUCAUUCCCCUCCCUCUCUCUCCCCAACCCUCCUCUGCCCUCUCUUCCUCUUCCCC